UAGAAAUGAUUUCUUUUGGUUAUUCAAAUCUAAUUUGCAUAAGAAAUAAUAAUAAUAAUAUAAAUUCAAUAAUGAUUUAUGUAUGUAUAAUGCAUUUACAAUAUUAUUCUAAUUAAUAGAUAUAAUAAUUGAGCUGAUAUAUUUUUGAACAUAAGGUCAUGUCAUGUGAGUCAGACUAAAGCAGGGCUCCAUCUUUUAUAUAUAUAAUAAAAAAAAGGAAGCCUAAGUUACAUGGAAUGCAACUGCACACAGAAGAAAAAGUGUGCAAUGUGUAGAUUGUCCAAUUGUGCAUGGUGGAUGCGUAUAACGUGUGCAUGAUGGACAAGCAUUGCAUAUUAGUUACACACUAAUUGAUUCUAUUCCCUUUUCCCAUUUCAUUUUUUGAGUAAUAAAAAUUUUAUUUUUAUAAUAUGAAGUAUAUUUAAACUGUAAACUAAUAUAUAAUUUGUUAUUUUAUUAAGAUUAUAUUCUAAAUUAAUGAUUCCAAAUUUGAGUGGUUAAAUUAAUACAUAAAUAGCUAAAAUGAAUAAUGGAAGGAUAUCAUAUAUCAUAUAUAAUAGUGUAGCUAUUAUUCGCACAAAAGAAUAUGUAUUAUUUUAAAAAAAUAUAAAAUCAUUUUUAUUUAAAAGGAAAAAGAAAAUGAGAGUUUAACUUUGUCCACACUGAUCACAUAACACUUGUUCGUUUUCUCGAAACUUGUUAGUUAGAUAGCGACACUGCUCUGAGCUCUUAAUGUGACGCGUUAUGCUUAUCCAGAAAUUCAAUUUACCCUAAGGUAAUUCAUAAACAAAAAGAAACAAACAAAGAUAAUUUCCAAUUUACCGUAGUUAAAAAUUUUGUCCAAUUAAAUCACAUUAAUUUUUUUUUUAAAAAUAAAAGACACAAAUUAUAAUCACUGAAAUUUAAAUUAAAACCAC
RNAcentral lists this long non-coding RNA (917 nucleotides) under Manihot esculenta (cassava). Its description in RNAcentral is "long non-coding RNA (MESC_LNC009022)". Lineage: Eukaryota; Viridiplantae; Streptophyta; Magnoliopsida; Malpighiales; Euphorbiaceae. The record is from RNAcentral.